AACGAACGCUGGCGGCAUGCCUAACACAUGCAAGUCGAACGAGACCUUCGGGUCUAGUGGCGCACGGGUGCGUAACGCGUGGGAACCUGCCCUUAGGUUCGGAAUAACUCCCCGAAAGGGGUGCUAAUACCGGAUAAUUUCUUCGGACCAAAGAUUUAUCGCCUUUGGAUGGGCCCGCGUUGGAUUAGCUAGUUGGUAGGGUAAAAGCCUACCAAGGCGACGAUCCAUAGCUGGUCUGAGAGGAUGAUCAGCCACACUGGGACUGAGACGCGGCCCAGACUCCUACGGGAGGCAGCAGUGGGGAAUAUUGGACAAUGGGCGAAAGCCUGAUCCAGCAAUGCCGCGUGAGUGAUGAAGGCCUUAGGGUUGUAAAGCUCGUUUACCCGGGAUGAUAAUGACAGUACCGGGAGAAUAAGCUCCGGCUAACUCCGUG
Molecule: ribosomal RNA, 433 nt
Filed under: uncultured bacterium
Lineage: Bacteria
Description: partial 16S ribosomal RNA
Rfam family: Bacterial small subunit ribosomal RNA
Source: RNAcentral